UUUAGAUAAAAAUUAGAGCAAAAAUCAAGCAAAAAUAUCUUAAAAAAAUAAAAUUUAUAGCCUUUGGUGCACGGUGGACCAAUCGCUCGAUCCAUAGAUUCAGGGGUGCAGUCCAUGGGAACAGUUUCGUGGUGCACGACGCGGCUCACAGACGGACGAAAGGUUUUUUGCACGAUCCAAUGGCUUAAAAUGAUUCUGAGGGA
This 203-nucleotide long non-coding RNA is filed under the name Elaeis guineensis (African oil palm). RNAcentral's name for it is "long non-coding RNA (EGUI_LNC012760)". Lineage: Eukaryota; Viridiplantae; Streptophyta; Magnoliopsida; Arecales; Arecaceae. The record is from RNAcentral.